This 443-nucleotide ribosomal RNA is filed under the name uncultured bacterium. RNAcentral describes it as "partial 16S ribosomal RNA". It matches the Rfam family "Bacterial small subunit ribosomal RNA", at positions 338 to 795 of the family's 1533-position model. The record is from RNAcentral.
CCUACGGGAGGCUGCAGUGGGGAAUAUUGGGCAAUGGGCGCAAGCCUGACCCAGCAACGCCGCGUGAAGGAAGAAGGCUUUCGGGUUGUAAACUUCUUUUAUCAGGGACGAAGCAAGUGACGGUACCUGAUGAAUAAGCUACGGCUAACUACGUGCCAGCAGCCGCUGUAAUACGUAGGGGGCAAGAGUUAACCGGAUUUACUGGGUGUAAAGGUCGUGCAGGCGGGAGUGCAAGUCAGAUGUGAAAAUUAUGGGCUCAACCCAUAGCCUGCAUUUGAAACUGUACUUCUUGAGUGCUGGAGAGGCGAUCAGAAUUCCGGGUGUAGCGGUGAAAUGCGUAGAUAUACGGAGGAACACCAGUGGCGAAGGCGGAUUGCUGGACGGUAACUGACGCUGAGGCGCGAAAGCGUGGGGAGCAAACAGGAUUAGAUACCCGGGUAGUC